Epinephelus fuscoguttatus (brown-marbled grouper) is the source of this 1078-nucleotide RNA transcript. RefSeq lists it as uncharacterized. The transcript has 6 exons. The record is from RefSeq and is a predicted model, not a curated record. Lineage: Eukaryota; Metazoa; Chordata; Actinopteri; Perciformes; Serranidae.
GUUUCCUCCAGGUGCUCUGACAUGUUCUCCCCGUGUCAGCGUGGGUUUCCUCCAGGUGCUCUGACAUGUUCUCCCUGUGUCAGCGUGGGUUUCCUCCAGGUGCUCUGACAUGUUCUCCCCGUGUCAGCGUGGGUUUCCUCCAGGUGCUCUGACAUGUUCUCCCUGUGUCAGCGUGGGUUUCCUCCAGGUGCUCUGACAUGUUCUCCCUGUGUCAGCGUGGGUUUCCUCCAGGUGCUCCGACAUGUUCUCCCUGUGUCAGCGUGGGUUUCCUCCAGGUGCUCUGACAUGUUCUCCCUGUGUCAGCGUGGGUUUCCUCCAGGUGCUCCCACAUGUUCUCCCUGUGUCAGCGUGGGUUUCCUCCAGGUGCUCUGACAUGUUCUCCCUGUGUCAGCGUGGGUUUCCUCCAGGUGCUCUGACAUGUUCUCCCUGUGUCAGCGUGGGUUUCCUCCAGGUGCUCUGACAUGUUCUCCCUGUGUCAGCGUGGGUUUCCUCCAGGUGCUCCGACAUGUUCUCCCCGUGUCAGCGUGGGUUUCCUCCAGGUGCUCUGACAUGUUCUCCCUGUGUCAGCGUGGGUUUCCUCCAGGUGCUCUGACAUGUUCUCCCUGUGUCAGUGUGGGUUUCCUCCAGGUGCUCCGACAUGUUCUCCCCGUGUCAGCGUGGGUUUCCUCCAGGUGCUCUGACAUGUUCUCCCCGUGUCAGCGUGGGUUUCCUCCAGGUGCUCUGACAUGUUCUCCCUGUGUCAGUGUGGGUUUCCUCCAGGUGCUCUGACAUGUUCUCCCUGUGUCAGCGUGGGUUUCCUCCAGGUGCUCCGACAUGUUCUCCCUGUGUCAGCGUGGGUUUCCUCCAGGUGCUCUGACAUGUUCUCCCUGUGUCAGCGUGGGUUUCCUCCAGGUGCUCUGACAUGUUCUCCCCGUGUCAGCGUGGGUUUCCUCCAGGUGCUCCAGCUUCCUCCCACAGUCCAAAGACAUGCAGGUUAAUUGGUGACUCUAAAUUGUCCGUAGGUGUGAAUGUGAGUGUGAAUGGUUGUCUGUCUCUAUCGUGACCUGUCCAGGGUGAACCCUGCCUUUGACAGGUGGGA